This 380-nucleotide ribosomal RNA is filed under the name uncultured eukaryote. Its description in RNAcentral is "partial 18S ribosomal RNA". It matches the Rfam family "Eukaryotic small subunit ribosomal RNA", at positions 592 to 976 of the family's 1831-position model. The record is from RNAcentral.
CAAUAGCGUAUAUUAAAGUUGUUGCAGUUAAAAAGCUCGUAGUUGGAUUUGUGGCGUACGGUGUGUUCCGGGCACUUGUUGUCUGAGUAACCUGCUGUUGCCAUCCUUGGGUGGAACCUGUGUGGCAUUAGGUUGUCGUGCAGGGGAUGCCCAUCAUUUACUGUGAAAAAAUUAGAGUGUUCAAAGCAGGCUUAUGCCGUUGAAUAUAUUAGCAUGGAAUAAUGAGAUGGGACUUUUUUGCUAUUUUGUUGGUUUGCGCAAGAAGGUAAUGAUUAAUAGGGACAGUUGGGGGUAUUCGUAUUCCAUUGUCAGAGGUGAAAUUCUUGGAUUUUUGGAAGACGAACUACUGCGAAAGCAUUUACCAAGGAUGUUUUCAUUAA